GAUGAACGCUGGCGGCGUGCCUAAUACAUGCAAGUCGAGCGAACAGACGAGGAGCUUGCUCCUCUGACGUUAGCGGCGGACGGGUGAGUAACACGUGGAUAACCUACCUAUAAGACUGGGAUAACUUCGGGAAACCGGAGCUAAUACCGGAUAAUAUAUUGAACCGCAUGGUUCAAUAGUGAAAGACGGUUUUGCUGUCACUUAUAGAUGGAUCCGCGCCGCAUUAGCUAGUUGGUAAGGUAACGGCUUACCAAGGCGACGAUGCGUAGCCGACCUGAGAGGGGGAUCGGCCACACUGGAACUGAGACACGGUCCAGACUCCUACGGGAGGCAGCAGUAGGGAAUCUUCCGCAAUGGGCGAAAGCCUGACGGGGCAACGCCGCGUGAGUGAUGAAGGUCUUCGGAUCGUAAAACUCUUUUAUUAGGGAAGAACAAAUGUGUAAGUAACUAUGCACGUCUUGACGGUACCUAAUCAGAAAGCCACGGCUAACUACGUG
Molecule: ribosomal RNA, 497 nt
Filed under: uncultured bacterium
Lineage: Bacteria
Description: partial 16S ribosomal RNA
Rfam family: Bacterial small subunit ribosomal RNA
Source: RNAcentral